This 253-nucleotide ribosomal RNA is filed under the name uncultured bacterium. Its description in RNAcentral is "partial 16S ribosomal RNA". It matches the Rfam family "Bacterial small subunit ribosomal RNA", at positions 524 to 776 of the family's 1533-position model. The record is from RNAcentral.
UACGGGGGGGGCAAGCGUUGUUCGGAAUUACUGGGCGUAAAGGGCUCGUAGGUGGCCAACUAAGUCAGACGUGAAAUCCCUCAGCUUAACUGGGGAACUGCGUCUGAUACUGGAUGGCUUGAGUUUGGGAGAGGGAUGCGGAAUUCCAGGUGUAGCGGUGAAAUGCGUAGAUAUCUGGAGGAACACCGGUGGCGAAGGCGGCAUCCUAGACCAACACUGACACUGAUGAGCGAAAGCCAGGGGAGCAAACGGG